RNAcentral lists this ribosomal RNA (748 nucleotides) under Streptococcus parauberis. RNAcentral's name for it is "bacterial SSU rRNA". It matches the Rfam family "Bacterial small subunit ribosomal RNA", at positions 61 to 792 of the family's 1533-position model. The record is from RNAcentral. Lineage: Bacteria; Bacillati; Bacillota; Bacilli; Lactobacillales; Streptococcaceae.
GUAGAACGCUGAAGACUGGUGCUUGCACUAGUCAGAUGAGUUGCGAACGGGUGAGUAACGCGUAGGUAACCUACCUCAUAGCGGGGGAUAACUAUUGGAAACGAUAGCUAAUACCGCAUGACAAUUAAGUACUCAUGUACUAAAUUUAAAAGGAGCAAUUGCUUCACUAUGAGAUGGACCUGCGUUGUAUUAGCUAGUUGGUGAGGUAACGGCUCACCAAGGCCACGAUACAUAGCCGACCUGAGAGGGUGAUCGGCCACACUGGGACUGAGACACGGCCCAGACUCCUACGGGAGGCAGCAGUAGGGAAUCUUCGGCAAUGGGGGCAACCCUGACCGAGCAACGCCGCGUGAGUGAAGAAGGUUUUCGGAUCGUAAAGCUCUGUUGUUAGAGAAGAACGGUAAUGGGAGUGGAAAAUCCAUUACGUGACGGUAACUAACCAGAAAGGGACGGCUAACUACGUGCCAGCAGCCGCGGUAAUACGUAGGUCUCGAGCGUUGUCCGGAUUUAUUGGGCGUAAAGCGAGCGCAGGCGGUUAUUUAAGUCUGAAGUUAAAGGCCGUGGCUCAACCAUGGUUCGCUUUGGAAACUGGAUAACUUGAGUGCAGAAGGGGAGAGUGGAAUUCCAUGUGUAGCGGUGAAAUGCGUAGAUAUAUGGAGGAACACCGGUGGCGAAAGCGGCUCUCUGGUCUGUAACUGACGCUGAGGCUCGAAAGCGUGGGGAGCAAACAGGAUUAGAUACCCUGGUA